Macrobrachium nipponense is the source of this 1100-nucleotide long non-coding RNA. RefSeq lists it as uncharacterized. The record is from RefSeq and is a predicted model, not a curated record. NCBI's taxonomy places the organism in Eukaryota, Metazoa, Arthropoda, Malacostraca, Decapoda, Palaemonidae. The transcript is spliced from 3 exons.
UAUCGUUCUAUAAAUCCUACUUCAAAGUGCUCGUGGAAUAAAACUUGAAAUUAUAUUUGAGAAAUACUCAGUAUACAGGUAUUUCAUAUGUUGGUAAAUUGCGGGUGUUCCUGUACCUAUCAUAGCCACAUGUUGAUUCAGAACUGCAAAACCUUUCUCGAACCAUUUUCCAAAGGAAAGGGCAAGGUUAAAGGCCCUCUGUGAAGAUUUCUCCUCUCUGGGUUUCAGUAAGACGUUCUAAGGUGACUGGACUGUAGAAUUCAGCACUAUGAAUAACAUUAAAGUUAAAACAAAAUAAUGCAUUGAAAUUGUAGCAUGCUUUAUGCUUUAAUCAGUUUGUACUUAUACUUCUAUUUUUUCAUUGACUACAAUCCUGCCCAGUGUGCUCGAACGAAAGCAUCCCGCUUUCGAGAGGUAACAUGACAAUCGUAACCUCUUCUCCGAAUUUCCUGGCGCUAAAUUCGACCGUCACCUACAUCUGCCCUCCCUUCAUGUCAAUGGGGAAUGGCGUAACCGCCAUGAACUCGACCUGUGUCGCAAAUCGUUCCCAGGGACAUCCAGGACCCCCAGCCUACUCGUUUCAGCCAGAUGACAUUCCUGAUUGUAACGUGUGCAUUGAUGAUCCUAACAUCGCAAAUGCAAUCUCCAGCUGGGAUAGGAAUACAGAUUACGUGGUUAGUGACAGAAUAAAUCUCACCUGCAAUUCGGGUUUCUUCUUCAAUGACACUGCCGAUGCAAAUACGUUCAAAGAGAUUCAUUGUACAGAUUUGGGUUGGUUUCCAGACCCAAGGGAUCUAAGGUGUCAUCCAGGCUGUACAGACCCUUUGCCAAGUGGUGGGCCUAACAUGAGCGUCCCUGAAUUCCCCCAAAGAGACUUUGGCGCCGAGCUCACUUACACCUGCGACGAGGGACUACAUUCCAGCGGCAAGUAUUGUUUUUGUUUUUACUUUUUCUUUUCGAUUUUCAUUCUGAGAUUCUCUGUCGUUUUUCAUUUUUAAAACCACAUUUUCUUCUAAAUAAACAAAAAUAGAGUGCUUAUUACAAAGCUCUUGUAAGAACUACCGAAAGGAUUAUUUAGAAGCUUAACACGCACGCGCUCG